This 484-nucleotide ribosomal RNA is filed under the name uncultured bacterium. Its description in RNAcentral is "partial 16S ribosomal RNA". It matches the Rfam family "Bacterial small subunit ribosomal RNA", at positions 30 to 507 of the family's 1533-position model. The record is from RNAcentral.
AUUGAACGCUGGCGGCAGGCCUAACACAUGCAAGUCGAGCGGAUGAAGGGAGCUUGCUUCUGGAUUCAGCGGCGGACGGGUGAGUAAUGCAUAGGAAUCUGCCUGGUCGUGGGGGAUAACGUCCGGAAACGGGCGAUAAUACCGCAUACGUCCUGAGGGAGAAAGUGGGGGAUCUUCGGAACUCACGCUAUCAGAUGAGCCUAGGUCGGAUUAGCUAGUUGGUGGGGUAAAGGCCUACCAAGGCGACGAUCCGUAACUGGUCUGAGAGGAGGAUCAGUCACACUGGAUCUGAACCACGGUCCAGACUCCUACGGGAGGCAACAGUGGAGAAUAUAAUACAAUGCGCGGAACCCUGGUCCAGCCAUGCCGCGUAUGUGAAGAAGUUCUUCGGAUUGUAAAGCACUUUAAGUUGGGAGGAAGGGCAGUAAGUUAAUACCUUGCUGUUUUGACGUUACCAACAGAAUAAGCACCGGCUAACUUCGUG